Molecule: small nuclear RNA, 18 nt
Filed under: Arabidopsis thaliana (thale cress)
Lineage: Eukaryota; Viridiplantae; Streptophyta; Magnoliopsida; Brassicales; Brassicaceae
Description: snRNA_02155
Source: RNAcentral
CGUGGCGGUUGACGGCAA